CGGCCUUCAGUUGGUGGCCUUCAGUGGGUGCCUUAAGUUGGUGGCAUUUGGUUGCCUUUCCUGGGGAGAGGGGGCAGGUGCUCAGCUCUGCAGACGUGGGGGCAAGCGAAGGCCCAAGCUGCCUCGAGAAGAGCAGAGGUGCCCCAUGGGGACCACGAUGACCAGUCGCAUGUGCACCAAAGCCAGCCCCAGGCAGGGGUUCUGCGAGGCCGUCCUGUGGCUUUGAUAUCUAUGAGUGGGCGGCCAGCACAGGCACAGGCACCAGCAGAAAGGAGCAGAGACGCCCAGAACAUGCUGUCCCCCAAUGCCAGCCCCAAGCGAGGCCAGCUUAGGGUGCGGUGGGCAGAGCCAUCCUGCAGCUCUGAGAUCCACGAGGUGUAGGUGGGAGUAGGGCCAGACUCCACUGCAUUGGAGCUCACACAAUUUGAGCCCAAUUUGAUUCCGGAGCCAUGAUCUACAGCACAUUGGCGACCAGAUGACGCCCAAAGCUGGGCAGAUGUGCCUGAGACAGGUUUGACCAGGCAACUGAAAAUAUAUCCCUAAGAGAAGACAAAACAAAGAUAUGAAAGGAACACACUUCCCUGACUGACUAGGAGGAACAGAGCUGCCUGCUGACUGGAACCGCUUCCUCCCAGACUAAAGGAAGAGAGAGAAUUUGGACAAAUGAAUGAGGAACAACGCUCUCCUGAGGGUUUUCUUUAAGGGGCAAGGAUCAAUGCCUCUAGAUCCUUUGAAAGCAGAGUUAAGAGGCAGUGCAGGAAGGCACAGCAGGAAGGUUCAUGGUUAGACUACAGAGAAGGAAGCAGCCACUGCUGGGGACCUACCCUGUGCUGGUCACUGACAAGCUGUCUCAUUAAACCUUCCCGGACCCUCAA
This 875-nucleotide long non-coding RNA is filed under the name Homo sapiens (human). RNAcentral's name for it is "HSALNT0400607". The record is from RNAcentral. Lineage: Eukaryota; Metazoa; Chordata; Mammalia; Primates; Hominidae.